Molecule: ribosomal RNA, 249 nt
Filed under: uncultured bacterium
Lineage: Bacteria
Description: partial 16S ribosomal RNA
Rfam family: Bacterial small subunit ribosomal RNA
Source: RNAcentral
UACGUAGGCAGCAAGCGUUGUUCGGAGUUACUGGGCGUAAAGGGUGCGUAGGCGGUUGCUUAAGUUUGGUGUGAAAUCUCCCGGCUCAACUGGGAGGGUGCGCCGAAUACUGAGUGACUAGAGUGCGGGAGAGGAAAGUGGAAUUCCUGGUGUAGCGGUGAAAUGCGUAGAUAUCAGGAGGAACACCGGUGGUGAGAGGCUUCUGGCCGUAACUGACUCUGAGAACGAAAGCGUGGGGUAGCAAACAGG